Molecule: long non-coding RNA, 11308 nt
Organism: Anolis carolinensis (green anole)
Lineage: Eukaryota; Metazoa; Chordata; Lepidosauria; Squamata; Anolidae
Exons: 8
Source: RefSeq, a predicted model, not a curated record
GAAAGAGAGGCUGGGAGUAAGUCACCAUGACUAAGCAAGAGAGAGGAAAAACCCGCCGCCCCGCUUUCACAAUAAGAGUCCCAGUUGCAGCGCCGAUGGGAGAGCAGGGAGGAAGAGGAGGAGCGGCAUUUUGGGGGAUGCCUUCCCGCAGAGGAUGGAGCUGCUAGGGCCCCUUCCACACAGCCGAAGAAAACCCCACAUUAUCUGCUUUGAUUGGAAUGUGGACUCAGAUAACCCAGUUCAAAGCAGAUAUUCUGGGAUUUUGCUCCUUAUUCCCUGUGUGGAGAUCAAGAAAAGGCGAUCCUGCAUCCACUGAUUCAACCAUCCACAGCUUGAAAAUAUUCCCCCAAAAAGACAUUCCAAAAAAUAUGCAAAGCUUGAUUUGGGGGGUUUUAUAUAAGGGACAUCAUUUUCCUAUGCCAUCGUAGGUAAUGAAGUUGGAGCAUCUGCAGAUUUUAGUACACACAGGGGGUCCUGGAUGAAAACCUCAGCGGAUACCAAGCAUCCACCGUACUUGGAAAUCUUCAAUAUAAGUGUACAUGUGUAUCACCUAUGUACCCACCGCCAAGACACUACACUUGGAAGGCCAUCAUACUCGAACGAGGGAUUGCCUAUGUAAGUACAUACACAUACACACAAAGAUGACUGUGAGAGAAAGAAAUUUGAAACUGAGGAAGUCUGUUUUCACUUUCAAGGUAAAGAGAGACACAAUCACUGUAUUGUCUGUUGUUUCUUUCACUUCCUGGGCCUUGGGCUGCAGAGUGGAGAAAGCAGAAAUUAUUCUGGGUGUGUUUCUUGUUUCACCUGAGAAAUGGGAUUGAGAGAGCAGAGCUUGGGAAAAACACUGUUUUGAACUAUAAUUCCCAGAACCUCCCAAAAUGCUAUGGAUCUUGGAAUAUAAGGCUUUGCCAACAUCACCUGUUUUUGUUGCCUUGUCAAAAAAGAAAACAAAAGGCGAACUUGCGUUCUCUUAACCUGGCGUUAAUACACUAAAGUAGCUUUAAUGCUUAGUGCAGUGGGAGAAACAGACUGUGUCGUUGUAGUGGCAUCUUUUUUAUUGUUAACUGCAGUCAAAUCAACUUCAACGCAUGGCGACCCUAUGGAUGAGAAGUCUCCAUGUCACCCUGUCAUGAACAGGAUCUUGUAGACCCAGAGAUGUGGCUUUCGUGACGGAAUUCAUCCUCCUUCCCCCUUUUUCUUCUAUUUAUUUGUUGUGUCAGGAACGAACCAAUGGUACAAGUUGUAAUGUAUUUGAAAACACAAAGUUUUUUUUAAAAAACUUGGCAUUAUACUAAAUGUCUUUUGACCAGUAGCUGGCCACUUGGAGUGUCUCAGGUGUUGCUGUAAGAAGGUCCACCAUUGUGCAUGUGGCAGGGCUCAGACUGCAUUGUAAUAGGUGGUUUGUGGUUUGCUCUUCUUCACACUCGAAUGUCGUGGACUCCAUUUCUUAAGGUUGGCUCUGCAUCUCGUGGUGCCAGAGCGCAGUCUGUUCAGCGCUUUCCAAGUUGCCCAGUCUUCUUUGUGCCCAGGAGAGAGUCUCUCAUCCGGCAUCAGCCACUGAUUGAUGUUCCAGGUUUUAGCCUGCCACUUUUGGACUCUCGCUUGCUGAGGUGUUUCUGUGAGUAUCUCUGUAGAGCUUAGAAAACUAUUUCUUGAUUUAAGGCAUUGGCAUGCUGACUGAGACCCGAACAGAGGAUGGACUGGAGAUGUCAAUGCCUUGGUCCUUUCAUUGCUGGUUGCUACUUCCCCGCGAGUGUCCAGUGGUGCAAUGCUUGCUAAACAGUAUAAUUUCUCCAGUGGUGUGGAGCAUAGACAUCCUGUGAUGAUGCGGCAUGUUUCAUUAAGAGCCACGUCCACUGUUUUAAUGUGGUAAGAUGUAUUCCACACUAGGCAUGCAUAUUCAGCAGCAGGUAAGGUAAAGGUUUCCCCUGACGUUAAGUCCAGUCAUGUCUGACUCUGGGGGUUGGUGCUCAUCUCCAUUUCUAAGAUGAAGAGCCAGCGUUGUCCGUAGACACCUCCAAGGUCAUGUGGCCGGCAUGACUGCAUGGAGUGCUGUUACCUUCCCGCUGGAGCGGUACCUAUUGAUUUACUCACAUUGGCAUGUUUCCAAACUGCUAGGUUGGCAGAAGCUGGAGCUAACAGCAGGCUCUCACUCCGCUCCCGGGAUUUGAACCUGGGACCUUUCGGUCUGCAAGUUCAGCAGCUCAGUGCUUUAACACACUUCACCACCGGGGUUCAUAUUCAGCAGUACACUGCCAUAAAUUUCAUAUCAAAGCAGAUAAUGUGGGAUUUUAUCCAGCUGUGUGGAAGAAGCAAGAAAGCUUCAGUGGAAAGAUCUUUCCCCCAUGAUAACUCUUCCAGUUAUCUAUUUCUCUCACUUCCUGUUGUCUCACUCCCGUUCUUAGCUAUGAGUUGUUUGUAAGUCAGAUGUCUGUAGCUCAGAGAUUGCCUGUAAUCUAUUUUCUUCCUAUCCACCUUCUUCACUGUCUAGCUUUUAUAACCCAGAUAAAAAUCGGAAAUAUAAUGGCAUGGGAAAUCCUAACUUUAGUAUCCUUAUAGAUCUUGUCAUGUUUCUUCAUAGCUGCCCUUCCAAGUCCUCGACUUCUUCUGAUUUCAGUACUAUAGUCCCCACUGCGAUUAAUGUUUGAGCUUAAGUGUGCAAUAUCUCAAACUCUUUCGAUUUCUUUAUCAUGUAAUUUAAAGUUACAUAAAUCACUUGCAGUCAUUUUUGUUGUCUUAAUGUUCAGUCAUCAAUCUGACUAUGCACUUUCUUCCUUGACUUCCUUCAAUGAUCAUUCCACGUCCCUUUUAUAUUCUGCUAAUAGUAUGGUGCCGUGUUAAACUUGGGAGUGUAUGAGUCAUUGUAUCUUUCAAAAGGUUGUGCCCCAAGGCAGGUGUGGGUAUGUGAUGCCCUUAAGGCAGUGGUUCUCAACUUGUGGGUCCCCAGUUGUUUUGGCCUAUAACUCUCAGAAAUCCCAUCCAGUUUACCAGCUGUUAGGAUUUCUGGGAGUUGAAGGCCAAAACAUCUGGGGACCCAGAGGUUGAGAACCACUGCCUUAAGGUAAUGUUGGGCUGCAACUCCCAUCAGUCUGAGACACCAUAAGUAAGGAACGAAGGGAAUGGCAGGCUGACAAAGUCUGGAAAAGCUAUAUGUCCAUGAUCCCAGUCCUGUCGUUAACUGCUGUGAAGUUAACUGGCUUAUGGUAUUGGUAUGGAAGAGAGACCUCGAAGUCCCCUAUUAACAACAACCCUACUCCUUCCUUAACCGAGUCUAUCCACCUAGAAUACAGUCUUCUGUCCUUUAUCUCACCUGAUAUUAUUGUCUUUUCUAAUGAGUCAUGUCUUUCCAUGAUAAGUCCAAAGUCUGGCAGUUUCAGUUUACUCAUCGUUGCUUCUAGAAAACUUGCUCUCAGGCUUAAUUAUUUGUUUUUAACGGGCCAUGGAUUCCACAGAACUCUAUCACCACAUUUCGAAUGAGUCCGUUCUUUCCCUAUCAGCUAUCUGAACUGUCCAGUUUUCACAACCAUACAUUAAAGAAAUGGAAAUACAGUGGUAUGGGCAGUCCUAACUUGAUUAUUCAACUAGCUUGGGUACCUGGUGAUACCCGGGUUAUUUGAAAGGGGCUUUGUUUUUUUUGGAUGUGAGGUCGUAUCAGUUUAUUUAUUUAUUUACAGUAUUUAUAUUCCACCCUUCUCACCCCGAAGGGGACUCAGGGCGGAUCACAUUACACAUAUAGGCAAACAUUCAGUGCCUUUUAACAUAGAACAAAGACAAACAAACAUAGGCUCCGAGCGGGGCUCGAACUCAUGACCUCCUGGUCAGAGUGAUUCAUUGCAGUUAAUUGCACUGGCUUGCUCUCCCGUCUGCGCCACAGCCCACAGCAUAUGUUACGCUAUGUCGUAGAAAAACACUCAGUCUUUGCUUUUGUUUUUUAUGAAUGCGCCCAUUAGAAAAUGCAUAAGGAUGUGGGUGAACUACAAUUCCCAAAAACCUUGGGUCAACCAUCCCAAAUCUCCAGUAUUCACAGUCUGCCAUGUUGGGACUGUGUGCCAAGUGUGGUCCAGAUCUGUCACUUGCUGGGUUCAGUGUUCUCUGAAUAUGGGUGAACUAUAACUCUCUGGUGCCAUUGCAGAGCUGGCCCUAGAUAUUUUUCAAGUGUAGGCGAACAGUAUUUUGCCCCCCCCUCCCCCCGCAACCAAUAACUAAAAAAUAAAAGCGUUGGAUAAGCAAAAAUGUUUGAUAAUAAGGAGGGAUUAAGGAAAAGCCUAUUAAACAUCAAAUUACAUUAAGAUUUUACAAAUUAAGCACUAAAACAUCAUGUUUUACAACAAAUCAACAGAAAAAGAAGUUCAAUACCUUGCGGAGGCAGGCCGCAGGAGACAGGAGUUGCCUCGAUGGCGCCCCCAACAGGAUGGCGCCACAGGCAACUGCCUAGUUGGCCUGGUGGUUGAACCACCUCUGGGUGCCAUGGUCAAUCACCCGCAAAGCCUUCCAGUAUUCCCAGUUGGUCGUGUUGAAUUUGUGUACCAAGUUUGGUCCAGAUCUGUCAUCAGAUGGGUUCAGUGUUCUCUGAAUAUGGGUGAACUAUAACUCCUGGAUGUCAAGGUCAAUCAUCCGCAAACCCCGCCAGUUUACAAAUUUGGUCAUGUUGGGUCUGUGUACCAAGUUAGUUCCAGGUCCAUCGUUGGAUGGGUUCAGAGUGCACUUAGAUUGCAGGUGAACUAUACAUCCCAGUCCUUACAACUCCUAUAAAUCAUGGUGAAUUCUCCCCAAACCUCUCCAGUAUGUUUAGUUGCUGAUCAAUUCCUCUGUUUGCUGUGUGCUAUAGAAAAGGGUAGGAAAGGGUUAAGGGAGAGGUAGUGGAUGGGGUCAUGCAAAUGGUGAGAGAAAGGAACAAUGGGAUGUGCUUGCUGUAACCUGCAAUGUCCUGGGAGGGAGUGACUUGGUGGCUCCUCAGCUUUGGAAACUAUAGCCUGUUUGUGGAGGCCAGAGGCUGUGAGUGGCAGACACCCAUACCACAUACACAUAUAUUAUGUGUAUAGAAGAUAGAAGAUGAUACAUAUAGCUUUACAGAUCUUGGCUUGUUUAUUCAUAGCUGCCCUUUCAAAUCCUAGUCAAGCGAUUUCUUGACUGCAGUCUUCAUUUUGAUUAAUGAUUGAGCCAAGAUAUGGAACAUCUUGAACUAUCUGUGUCUUCGUCAUCUACUGUAAAGUUACAUAACCUGCAGUCAUUUUCAUUUUCUUAAUGUUCAGCUGUAAACCUGUUUUUUCACUUUCUUUUUAAUGACUUUAACAUUUGUUCCAAAUCUUUGCUGUUUUCUGAGAAUACUAUGGUGUCAUCUGCAUGUACAGUAUUGUUGUUGGUGUCCUUCAAUGUUCAUGUUCUCUUCCACACAGCCAUAUAACCCAGAAUAUCAAGGCAGAAAAUCCCACAUUGUCUGCUUUGAACUGGAAUAUAUGGCAGUGUAGACUCAGAUAACCCAGUCCAAAGCAGAUAUUGUGGGAUUUUCUGCCUUGAUAUUCUGGGUUAUAUGGCUGUGUGGAAGGGCCCUGUGAAACUCAUGUGAAAUUUAUGUUGUCGCUUUAAAUCCUAAAUCGAGGUGAAGACACAUUUUCCUCAGGGUAGCACCAUGUGCCAAUCAAAAAGCGGGCAGGCAGCAGUCUCUGGGAGAAAAUGUGUGCCUUAGCAACCAAUCAAAAGUGGCGGGAGGGGAUGCAGUUUCUAUUUCCUUUUUUCUUAUUGGCGGAAAGUGAGCAAAGAGAAGAGAGACAACAAAGGCAUUGCAGACAGGGGCCCUCCUCCAUUUUUGUUUUAUUCUCCGCGCAUGCGCCCUAAGAAUGGAGGCGGUUGUCCCUAUGGGUGGCGCGCUGCAGAGGUACACGUGAGGCAAUACGUGUCUUUGUGGAAAUUUAUGUGAAAGGUGAAGAGGAGUAAGAGGAGGUGUGUUUGUGUGACAGAAGUCGAUUUUUUUUUGUGAGGGAGAGGCCUCAUGUGUCUUUGUGAAGAAAAAAAAAGAAAAGAAAGAAACAUAAAGUUGGAAGAGACCCAAGGAUCAUCCAGUCCAACCCCUUUCUGCCAUGCAGGAACACAAUCAAAGCACACCUAACAGAUGGCCAUCCAACCUAUGCAUAAAAACUACUGGAGAAGGAAACACCUCUGCACUCUGAGGAAGAGCAACCGGAGUUGCUUCUGGAGUUAGAGAAUUGGCAGUCUGCAAGGACGUUGCCCAGGGGACGCCCGGAUGUUUUUGAUGUUUUACCAUCCUUGUGGGAGGCUUCUCUCAUGUCCCCCAUGGAGCUGGAGCUGAUAGAGGGAGCUCAUCCACGCUCUCCCUGGGUGGGAUUCGAACCUGGCAGCUUUCAGGUGGUCAACAUUGCUGCCUUUGCUAUUUGGUUCUUCUAUCAAACUCCUGAGAGAAAGCAGUGUUGGGAUCAAAUACUAUGCCAAAGGCUAUUGAAAACCAGUAAUUAUGUUACAUUGCCCAGCAGCAGCUGUUGGGAUGUGGAUUUUUCCAGGAUGCUGGUGGCAAAACUACUUUAGGUUUUAGUGCAAAGGAGUCUUCCAAAAUACUGAGCCAUGCCCUCCAAAACGUUGGGUCCCAUGCUGAGAAAAUGGCAGGAUAUAAGUUGAGGCUCCAAGAAAGAAAAGUGGAAAAAUACAAAGGAAAUGGCUACAGUACUGUGUUCAGAAAUGGCCAUGUUCUCCUUGGGUUGGAGAAGGAGAUAACCUUAUAUUGGCUUUCCAGCAGAGACUGGCAAGUGAUGCAUGGUUCCAGACAGUCAUCGCAUACUAACCUGGGACUUUUCCACGGAGGCAGUGUGCUUAUCGCACAUAGGGCUGAUCUCCAUGCCUCGUUCCCGUUCUUUGUCUCCCUGCCUGAAGAACUCCUCCAUGAUCCGGUCUGUCCAUUGGCGAUACAGCUCUAGAGGCUUUGUGGGGUUGCUCAAGUCUGCACAGUGGACCAUGUUCCGUAGGACCUGGUUGCAUUGGGGAGAAAAAGGUAAGACUCUCAAAGCUGCAAGCAAACCCUUUGGAAAGGAGAAUUGGGCCAAUACUACCUUUGCUCAGAAGGAGACUUCUGAAGAAGAUGCUGAAAGAUAGAGCUCUGUACUAUCUAAACUAUAGAGAGCUAUCACUGGAUGUGAUGGAAGAUACUGCCAUAUUAUCAGAGUUGAACUAAGACUCAUCUGCCACUGCAGUCAGCUUCUGUAUAUCAAAGCUCUGCCUGAGACAGCAAAAUGAUAUGAGUCAGACCUGGCUGUAAGGUAUGUGUGCAUGUUAAUGGAGUCCCCAAUGGCGCAGUGGAUUAAACCACUUAGCUGUUGAAUCUGCUGUCUGAAAGGUUGGCGGUUCGAAUCCAGGGAGCAAGGUGAGCUCCUGCUGUUAGCCCCAGCUUCUGCCAGCCUAGCAGUUCGAAAACAUGCAAAUGUGAGUAGGUUAAUAGGUACUGCUCCGGCGGGAAGGUAACAGCACUCCAUGCAGUCGUGCCAGCUAAAUGACCUAGGAGGUAUUUAUGGACAACGCUGGCUCUUCGGCUUAGAAAUGAAGAUGAGUACCAACCUCCAGAGUCGGACAUGACUGAACUUAAUGUCAGGGGAAAACCUUUACCUUUACCUAGUACUAUGAACAGGAGGAAAAUUCCUAGAUUAUUUUUGAAAGUUGGGAAUAAUGUGAAUUAGAAGGUCUGUAAUGAGUGGGAAUAACACUGCUUUUCUGAGCAUUAAAUAGUAUUUGGUUUGAAAUAAGAAAUCACCUUCUGGCCACUUUCUGACUAUGGCUACCUGGACUCGGUCCGAAAAACAACAACAAAAUUUCCCUUCCCUCAAGAAUAUAGGAUUUCACCCAAGCAUUGCCUACCUGUAUUCUGUCAGUGUAGUUGUCCAAUAGGAGGACUCCGGAGCUGGUCACCUUUUUGGUUUCCACCAUGGUCUUCAGAUCAGCCAAGAGACUCAUAUGCUUGGACAUGUCAGUGGCCAGGACCUGUAGAAUCACAAAUCAGAAUAUUAAGGACAGAGUAAGGAUACUUCAUCUUAGUACAUGAAGCUCCUCCCAGGUUGUAUUUCUUUCCCUGUCCCAGGCAAACUAGUGUAAUUUUUUAAAAUCCACAAAUCUCAUACAAACCAGAGGAUGUGGGUUUUCUUUUAGCAAGAGUAGGGCAAGUGCACCUUCAGAUGUGGGACUGCAACUGCUGGCAUCAUUAGAGUUAGUGUCACCCUCAAACCAUGCAGAAUCCUAAGUUUUUGCUUUGUAUUAAUAUUACUUGUAAAUUGUAAUUCCCAUACACAGUAGUCUCACUUAUCCAACAUAAAUGGGCCGGCAGAAUGUUGGAUAAGCGAAUAUGUUGGAAAAUAAGGAGGCAUUAAGGAAAAGCCUAUUAAACAUCAAAUUAGGUUAUAAUUUUACAAAUGAAGCACCAAAACAUCAUGUUAUACAACAAAUUUGACAGAAAAAGUAGUUCAAUACGCAGUAAUGCUACGUAGUAAUUACUGCAUUUACGAAUUUAGCACCAAAAUAUCAGAUGUAUUGAAAACAUUGACUGCAAAAAUGCAUUGGAUAAUCCAGAAUGUUGGAUAAGCGAGUGUUGGAUAAGUGAGAUUCUACUGUACCACUAAAUGCAAUGAUAAAAUCAGUGACUGUACAAAAUCAUUAGGAACGAAAAUGACAGCAUGUGUUUGUAUUGCCACAUCAUUGUAACUGUGUAAUAAUGCCAGCUUUGACCAGAGCACAUGCACAUUAGAAAGUUCAAAAACUAAAUUAGUAUAGCUUAUAGCUAUGCUGAUUCGGUACAUGUAAGAUGGGCUUCCAAAAGCCACCAUAGGGAUAUUUUUAUAUAAAAUAAUACAUUUGCUUCAACACUACACAAAAUUUUUGGUGUCACCCAUUCUGAUGAUGCCACUGGUCUGCACUUCUUGCAUGGCUCUAGUGUUGCCACUGACUAAAAUUCCCAGUCCACAAAUCGUGGUGAAAGUGUUGUAAAGAGCACUUGGAAGGCUCUUCGGGGAGCUAAUUCUCUGCUUGCAGAGGGAUUCUAGGAAGCUACAAUCUCAAAAAGACACUUUUUGAAGCAUGAUUUCUUCCACACAAAAAACAAGAUGGCUAAGCUUAUACCUUAGUUUCCUAAAACAAUGUCCAGGAGGGAAUCUCUGCCAAAGGUGCUGGGCAGACUCAUCCCCCGGAAGUUUGCCUGAGGCUCACCAUGUCUAUCACCAUUUUCCGUAAGGUUUGCCGCUGUCGCUUUGUCAGGUUCUGGAAGAUGUCACAGUUCUCCUCUUGCAGCAGCUUGAAACCCACGGCCAAGUGGUGGUUCUCCAGCACAGACUCGUCGUUGUACAUCAGCGCCAGUUCUGAAUCUGCCAGGCAGAAAGGUCCAGGUUAGAGAGAACAAAAUGAACUUUAAGCAUUUGGAAUAAUUAACUUUAAGGGGGGUUAAUAUAUCUGAUAUAAAGUGGCCUUUAAAAGUCUGAUAAAAUAAAAGGAGCCAGUGUGGUAUCAUGGUUUGGGUGUUGGACUAGGGGUGCAUUUACACUGUUGUUUAAUUCAACUGCCAUGACUCAAGAUUGGGUGGUGGCUUGUAUUUUAGUGUCAUGUCAUGUAUUCCUUUCUGGCCGUUAUUCUUAUCAAGAUGCACAGUAACAGUGUUUUGGUCAAGUGACACAGUUUAGUUUAUAGAACUACUAUCAGUAUUUUAAACUGACAAGCUAAUUUCUCUUUAGAGCCACACCAUAGUUAUGUCUAAGGCUGGACCUACACUGCCCUAUAUCCCAGAAUCUGGUCCCAGAUUAUCUUCUUAUCUCAGAUUAUCUGACAGUGUAGACUCAUAUAAUCCAGUUCAAAGCAACCUGGGUUCAGAUCCUGGGAUAUAGGGCAGUGUAGAUCCAGUCUUCAUGGAGGCAACUGGUUUAGUAGAGCAUGUUUAGAGAUCCAUGACACUUCUGUACCUAGUCUUGUCUUGCUGACCCUUUGUUGUCCUUGCAGCAUUUCUCUGAAUCCUUUUCAAUGUGCUCACACCUCUUUUGAGAUGGCACACACAAGUAAUGAUUGCCAGGGACUCCAGUGGGUCAUAUGCCCAACCCCUAUGUUCCAGAAGAUUAUGCAGCUAUCUCACUUCAUCCAAUACCACGCCCAUUGCACUAUGCAAUUUUGCUGCUUGCUGUUUGAUAUUGUUUUUAUUUUUAUCUAUGUUUCUGUUGUUGAUGGAUCAUUUGUAUUUGUAUUUAAGGGGCACUUGCCCCAUGUGUAAGCCGCCCCAAGUCCCAAUUGGGAGAUGGUGAUGGGGUAUAAAAAUAAAGUUGUUGCUAUUAUCAUUAUUAUUAUUAUUAAUAUUAUUAUUAUGAUUGACUCAAAGAAAUAGUAUGGCACAGCAAACGAGAUAUAUAUAUGCUGGAUUUCGUAUUACAAAAUCACAAGUUGAACACUUCCCAAGUUUUUAGGACUGUGAUGUAUUUUCGGAUGAUGCGUGCAGAUCCCAGUAAGGUGGCCUUUUGCAGUUGACAGAUUGUAAUUUUGUCAAUGUUUAUUGUUUCCAAAUGCUGGCUGAGAUAUUUUGGCACGGCACCCAGUGUGCCAAUUACUACCGGGACCAACUGCACUGGUUUAUGUCAGAACAAUUAUUAUUAUUAUUAUUUGCCCCCAGCCUUAGGGAGCAUGAUAGCAUACUAAGACACAUUAAAGCCAGUCUGGUCAGGGCCAAAAAGGGGCUAUGCAUGCAGGCCUGUAGCCAGGAGGGGAGGUUUAGGGGUUCAACCCCCCCCCCCCCAAAUUUUUCAGGUUAAAAAAAACCCCUGGUUUACUCAUGAAUUUUAACUGGUUAACCAAAUCCCAAUGCUAAGUCUAUGAGAAGCAAAAAAAUUAAGAGUACCUCCAGGCACUAUCUCAAGCAGAUAUUGACAGGUCUGUAGCCAGGGGGAGGGGAGGGUUAGGGGUUCAACCCCUCCUCAAUUUUUUUUCUGGCUACGGCCCUGUAUGCAUGUACUGUAUAUACAAAGCAAAGAUCCAGGAAAACGCUUUUCUCACCAGAUACGUUCACUUCCUUUGAAGGUACUAUUACAAAUUCAAGAAGAGCAUUUAUCUGAGUGGAGCAAGGCCUACUCAGUGGCGAAGCUUCUCAGCCUUUUGGCUAAGAUCAAGUGUAGUACUCAGUGGCUGCCCCAAUACUGCAUUCUUCACACAUCUCCUUCUUUGAUUUAAAGCAUUUUAGUAAUUUGUGUAUUUCUGAAGGUUAGGGAAGGUGGAUGUUUAUUUGCAGGCUGCUAUGUUGCUAUGAGUACUUCAUAUUGGGUUGUUAUAAUUAAAGAGUUUGAAAUUGCCA